UCUCGCCUGCCCUGUGACCAUGAGUUUAACGGCCGCGGUAUUUUGACCGUGCAAAGGUAGCGCAAUCACUUGUCUUUUAAAUGAAGACCUGUAUGAAUGGCAUAACGAGGGCUUAACUGUCUCCCUUUUCCAGUCAAUGAAAUUGAUCUCCCCGUGCAGAAGCGGGGAUUAAAACAUAAGACGAGAAGACCCUAUGGAGCUUUAGACAAAGAGCAGACCAUGUUAAACACACCUAAAUAAAGGACAAAACCAAUUGGCCCCUGCCCUUAUGUCUUUGGUUGGGGCGACCGCGGGGAAACAAAAAACCCCCAUGUGGACUGAAGACAUUCCUCUUCACAACCAAGAGCCACAGCUCUAAGCAACAGAACAUCUGACCAACAAGAUCCGGCACUAAGCCGAUCAACGGACCGAGUUACCCUAGGGAUAACAGCGCAAUCUCCUUUUAGAGCCCCCAUCGACAAGGAGGUUUACGACCUCGAUGUUGGAUCAGGACAUCCUAAUGGUGCAGCCGCUAUUAAGGGUUCGUUUGUUCAACGAUUAAAGUCCUACG
This 550-nucleotide ribosomal RNA is filed under the name Pseudetroplus maculatus (orange chromide). RNAcentral describes it as "partial large subunit ribosomal RNA". It matches the Rfam family "Bacterial large subunit ribosomal RNA", at positions 1853 to 2600 of the family's 2925-position model. Lineage: Eukaryota; Metazoa; Chordata; Actinopteri; Cichliformes; Cichlidae. The record is from RNAcentral.